This 90-nucleotide transfer RNA is filed under the name Ignavibacteria bacterium. RNAcentral's name for it is "tRNA-Lys". It matches the Rfam family "tRNA". From Rfam's summary of the family: Transfer RNA (tRNA) molecules are approximately 80 nucleotides in length. Their secondary structure includes four short double-helical elements and three loops (D, anti-codon, and T loops). The record is from RNAcentral. Lineage: Bacteria; Pseudomonadati; Ignavibacteriota; Ignavibacteria.
CCCCUCUUAGCUCUAAUUGGCGAGUCGAAAGACGAGAGCUUCUGACUUUUAAUCAGAAGGUUGCUGGUUCGAAUCCAGCAGAGGGGACAA